CUCUUCCCCAACAAGACUCUUUUCCAACCUGGACCGGUUCACCCCUCCUUUAGCAACCUCGUGGUCCCCCGCUCCCCGGAAGUCACCAUGCUGAUGCCAAACUUAGUGCGGACACCCGAUAGGCAUAGCGCACUACAGCCCAGAACUCCUGCGCUCAAGCGAUCCUCCCGCCUCCGCCUCCCGAGUAGCCGGGUCUACAGGCACGCGCCACCGCGCCCGGCUGGAUGCACUACUUGACAUUCCCAUCAGCAACAUAUGAGGGCUCCAACUGCUCCGCAUCCUUGCCAGCACUAUUUUUUGUAUUGUUUUUGUCUGUCUGCUUACUUUUAAUAGCCGUCCUAGUAGGUGUGAACUGGUAUCUCAUUUCUCCUGGUUUUGAAUUGAAUUUGAUUUGCAUUUCCCUGGUGACUAAUGAUGUGGAGCAGCUCUUCAUGGGCUUGCUGGACAUUUAUAUAUGUUCUUUGCAAAAAUAUCUAUUCGAGUCCUUCAUCGUUUUUAAAAUUGGCUUGUUUUGUUGUUGUUGAAUUAUGAGAGUUCUUUUCAUAUUCUAGAUACCAGACCCUUAUCAGACAUAUAAUUUGCAAAUACUUUUUAUCCCAUAUGAGAAUUCUUCUCAUUGUCUUGAUAGUGUCCUUUGAUAGAGAAAAGUUUGCAAUUUUUUGAGUCCAAUUUAUCUUUUUCUUGUUGUUCCUUGUGCUUUUGGUGUCCUAGCUAAGAAACCAUUGCCAAAUCCAAGGUCAUGAAGACAACCCACCUUUUCUUUAAGAGCGCUACAGUUUCAGCUCCUAUAUUUCGGUAUCUGAUUCAUCAUGAAUUGAUUUUUGUAUAUGGUACAAGGUAAAGAUCCAGCUUCAUUUUUUUAAAUGUGAACAAGCAGCUGUCCCAGCACCAUUUGCUGAAGAGACUAUUCUCUCCCCCACUGAAUGGUACUAGCUCUCCUGUCAAAAAUCAGUAAAUCAUAGAUGUGAGUUUUAUUUCUGGACUCUCAGUUCCUUCCCCUGAUCUAUAUGAUCUAUAUGUCUUACACAUGAGAGUAUCACACUGGCUUGAAUACUGUAGUUUGUAGAAAGUUCUGAAACAAGGAAGUAUGAGUUCUCCAGUUUUGUUCUCCUUUUGCAAGACUGUUUUGGCUAUGUGGGGUCCCUUGCAGUUCCAUUUGAAUUUGGGAUCAUCUUUCCCAUGUCUGCAUAAAAAGCCAUCGGAAUUUUGAUAGGGAUUGUACUGACGAUAUUGCUUUGGGACGCAAUAAUAUUAAGUCUUCCAAUCAAGGAAC
Long non-coding RNA from Cebus imitator (Panamanian white-faced capuchin), 1273 nucleotides. RefSeq lists it as uncharacterized. NCBI's taxonomy places the organism in Eukaryota, Metazoa, Chordata, Mammalia, Primates, Cebidae. The transcript has 3 exons. The record is from RefSeq and is a predicted model, not a curated record.